UGGGCAUUGGUCCUGAUGGAAGGAUAU
This 27-nucleotide non-coding RNA is filed under the name Mus musculus (house mouse). Lineage: Eukaryota; Metazoa; Chordata; Mammalia; Rodentia; Muridae. The record is from RNAcentral.